This 5884-nucleotide long non-coding RNA is filed under the name Lynx pardinus (Iberian lynx). The record is from RNAcentral. Lineage: Eukaryota; Metazoa; Chordata; Mammalia; Carnivora; Felidae.
CGUGAACCCCAGCGUGCCGAGGAGGGUUGUGAGCAGAGCAUAAGGUAAUGGCAUUCUGGGGAAAGGGUGCAGUAAAUGUUCGGGCACCAAGAGAGGUACAGCGCGGUGACGUGCCGCUCACCUGCAGCGCGGGAAUGAGAUCCACUGACUGGGUCGGAAGAGGGAGGAGGGGAGACGACGCCUACCUUCUCUUCACUUUACAUCCUAGAAGAAAAGACCUUAUAUUUAAAUUAAGCUAAUAGAAAAAAAAAAAAAAGUCUGCGUUUGAAUUUAAUCCUGGCUUUACUGCUAAUAGCCAGGGUGACCCUGGCCUAACUUAAUUUUCAGAGGCCCCACUUGGCCCUUUGCCUAUCUAAGAGCUAUCCUGAGGGAUGUGAGAUAGCUAAGGCAAAAGCUUUUAAAAAUGUUUGUAGGAUUUAAAGGUGACAUUGUUUUGGACUUGGAUUCAUUAUGUUUUUGUUUUUAUUUUAUUAAAAAUUUUUUUGAAAGUAAUCUUUACACCCAAAGUGGGGCUCAAACUCACGACCCCCGAAAUCAAGAGUCGCAUGCUCUUUGAACUGAGGACCCCCGAGAUCAAGAGUCGCAUGCUCUUCGGACUGAGCAGCCAGGCACCCCUGGAUGUAUUGUUAGUAACGCAGAUACAAAGGCCUACUGCAGGCUGCUAUGGCAGAACUUUUUUGAAUUAAGGAAGACUUUUAAUAGCCACAUGUUAGAAAAAGCUAGUUCACAGAACUCGGAACCUCGUCAAUAUGCAGAGCAUAAAAUAGAAAACUAGUCCAGCAGCAGGCUGGACUUUCUAAGGAAACAAUUUAUUUCAGAACUAUAUACAUCGUACACUUUCUCAGUACAUUUUUUAGAUUUUUUUUAAUAAUAUCUAUUUUAGAAGGAGAGACAGAGCGUGAGCGGGGGAGGGGCAGAGAGGGAGGGAGACAGAAUCUGAAACAGGCUCUGCGGUGUCAGCGCAGAGGGGUCUUGAACUCAGGAACAGCGAGAUCACGACUCGAGCUGAAGUCGGUGGCUUAACCGACUGAGCCAGCCAGGCGCCCCAAAUUUCUCUGUAUAUACUGAAUUUAUAUAUCUAUCCACACAACACACGUGCGCCUCCAGCACAUAAACAGAAUUAUUCAAAGUUCCUGUAGGUCAGAGAUGGUGUCUGUCAUGGUACUAUAACCAAGACCCUCAAAAAGUUUGUGUCCAGGAAACUAGAUGUAAAUUUCUAAGUCUAUAUUGUACUUAUUAAUUUUAAAUCUAGGGAUAUGAAAUUUCAUUUCACUCAACAUGUUCCAAAUGAGGUCUUAUAUCUAACAGGUACCCAGCAAGAAAUCGGUGUUGUAAAUUAAUCUCAUAGCAAAUGUAUAACAAGAAUCUAAUUUCAUAAAACUGUGUUGUAUUUUGCUGUUAUUUCUGAACUUUUGCUUUGAACUCUGCUACCUUGAAAUCUUGUUUAAUGAGCUAAAUCUUCAGGCUAAUACUCAUAGUUCACCAUCCCCCUACUCUACAUUACUAGCUGGCCCGUUAGAGAAAGUGUGCAGAUUUCUACUUUAGGGUAUACCUGAAAGUGAAAUUGAUUAUAUGUUUCUUCUACCUACUAAACAAUACCAAAUUCUUUAUUCUAAAGUGGUUGUAUCCAAAGUGGGUACAGUGUACACUUUGACCAGUGGCACAUGAGAGUUCCAGUUACCCAGCAUUUUUGCCAGUAAUUGAAAUUGUGAGGUUUUAAUUUAGCCAUCCCAGGUACAGACUGAUAUCUCAUGGUGGUUUUAAUUUUUUAUAAUGAGGUUAAACAUAUUUUCAUAUUUAUUGGCUGUUUGCUUCCCUCUUUGUGAAAGUACCUGUUCAAACCUUGUGCCAACUUUUCUAUUGGGUUGCUUGCCUUUUUCUUGAUAUAUGCACUUCUUUACAUAUUCUGGGUACUAACUGCUCCUCUGUCAGUUAUAUUGCAGACAUUUUCUCCCAGACUGGCUUAUCUUUAUAGUAGCUAUUGAUCAACCCAAGUUCUUAAUUUUAAUCAGUAAUAUUGGCUUAAUGUUAGCUUUAGGUGUUAUGUUUAGUGCUGUUUACAAAUUCAGAAAUAUUUUAAGGAUUAUAAAGCUAUUCUGUAUUUCCUAGAAGCUUUAUGGGUUGCUUUUCAUGUUCUGAUUCUAUUUCACUUAGAAUAUAUUUUUUGGUAUGGUGUGUAUGCAUUGAUUUUUCAGAUUAUGAAUUCAAGCUAUAGCUAAUUUUUUAAUUAAAUAUUUAUGGUAUUUAUAAAGCUUUUUAUAAGACUUUUUGUUGUUUUUCUAUAGAUACAUAUUAUUGAGAAAUAUUUAAUUUUUUAAGGCUCAAGAUGAAAAAUCAUGAACCAGAUGAUACUGUCAAGGAAGACUUAAUUUUCAAUAUCAUAACCAGAAAAAUUAACCACCUCCCAGAAGCAGAAAGGUAAUUUAAUUUAAAUUUAAUUUAAAAAUAUCUUUUACCAGGUGGAUUUUCGUCAUUCGUUCAUUAUCUCACAUUUAUUUGAUUUGAAUAUAAACAUAAAAUGUCAGAAGGAAACUGAGUUCUUUUUCUUGCCUUACUGAGAAAACCCAAGACCAGGAGAGGUUAACUAUUUUGCUUGAAGUUAAGGCUAGAAUUCAUGCCUUUGGACAUAUCUAAUUAUAUGAUAGUGCUCAGUUUUUCCAUUUGGGUAAGAGUAUAGUCAGUUGUGAACAUUUAUAGACUCAUCUAAAUAAUAGACCUUUAAGAUGGCUUUUAUCAACGUUUUUUUUUUUUUUUUAUUUUUGGGACAGAAAGACAGAGCAUGAACGGGGGAGGGGCAGAGAGAGAGGGAGACACAGAAUCGGAAACAGGCUCCAGGCUCCGAGCCAUCAGCCCAGAGCCUGACGUGGGGCUCGAACUCACGGAGCGCGAGAUCGUGACCUGGCUGAAGUCGGACGCUUAACCGACUGCGCCAUCCAGGCGCCCCUAAGAUGGCUUUUAAAUUGUCUUGUCAGUUUAUUUCUAGAACUAUGUUUUACAGUCCAAGAGAGUGCCAUGUGACACACAUGACAAGAAAUGCCAGAGAAAUGAGAUCAUGGCUUAAAGAUCUGUAUUAUUAAAUAGAAAAAGGCUAUAUAGGAAACAGAGUAUCUCUGAAGACAGCACUGAAUAGUGCAUUUCUAUAGCAAGAAGACCUCUCUGAAUAGGUUCCAUUUAAAGAGAAAUUAUGAGACCAAAAAGCAUGAAGGCGAGCCAGCCUAGGGAGGAGAGAGACACAGUAUCUCAGGCAGAGGGGAUGGUAUAUGCCUAGGCCACAAGGUGGCAAAAUGUUGAUCAUACCUGAGGAACCAGUGUUACUGAAAAACAGGGAAGUGGGCAUAAGAUUGAAGGAAAAGGAAGAGUUCUAAGCAGGGAAUGAUGUGAUCCAGGUAACAUUUCUAAAGAACAUUCCAGUUGCUUUGGGGAACUAGAUUUAAGGUAGGAGAGAAAUUUAAGACCAGUAAGAAAACUGGUAUAGUAAUGUUGGUAGGUGGUGAUGGCAGGGGUGGGGUCAUUGGACAUGAAAAAGGUGGAUUUGAAAUACAUUUUGGAGUAAAUUCCAGAUACAUUCUUGAGUAAAUUCCAGUCUUGCUGCUACUUAGCCCAACAAGAGAGAACCUAUAGACCAAGGGCAGUAAUAAGAACUUGGUGAGAUUUCAUAAGCUGUAUAUCCUACAGCUCUUCCCCCACCACACACACACACACACACACACACACACACACAUUAUACGUCCUUUUGUUGUUUUCCUGAGGGAGGUAACAGAACUUUUCAAGCAAUAAAGGGCCUGUGUCCAUGUUUCCAGCUCAGUAAGGUAGAGCCAGAAAGACUGAAAUAAUAGGUGGUGGCAGCUUUGAAAAGAGCAGGCUAUCUCACUGGGACUUUCACCAAAUAAGAAUGCAGAAACAGUGGGGAAGCAAGCUGGAACUGCAUAGUAAGUAAGCUUUAAUUUGGAAGUAAAAAUUGCUCUCAGGCAUUGGCACCCGAACAGAGCAGAUGACAGUGUCUCCUUAUCUUUGACUUAUUUCAUAUUUUUACCAUUCCUAUUUUCUUAUCCUUGUUUUCUUAAGUUUGAAUCCUCACCUGGUCUUGCAUUAUCAUUAGAUAUGUUUAAUAGGUAUUUGAAAAGUCCUGAGGCGUAUGAAACUUUAAUAUCAAAAACUUCACUUUCUGAUCUACAAAAUAAUUUUAUGUACCAUAUAUUUCAUUGCCACUUAAUUGUGAUCUUCUAUUUCAUGUGUUUCAUUCAUGUUGUCUAGUUGUUUUGUGUGUGUCUUGCCAAACAGUCAUGAGUUUCUAGUAGUAUAGGCACUUUCUUGGAAAACUGACUUGCAAAGGAGCUGCUAGAAACUGUUUUGUACUGAAUUACUAACUAAAAAAUGUGACUCUAAACCAUAAGAAAUUAAAAUUUGGGAGGCCAUAAACUUUGCUAUUCAAAAAUACAAAAAUACGUAGGUCUUUCACUUUCAUGGGUUUUCUGUUAUUGUUUGGAAGGUUCUCUAGGCUCUCCUCACUUUUUAAAUAUAUCUUGUGUACCCUAAGUUUCUAAACUGCCUCUCUCUUAUACUUCCAUUACCAUUUCAAUAGACUUGUUUUAUCUCAUGCUCACAUGUCUUUCAUCCUCCAAUAAUAAACUAUGAAAACACUGAAGGUAGAAGAUAAUUUUUUGUCUCCAGCAUCAAGUCUGCUGCGUGUAGUAGGUACUCAGUGAUUGAAUGACAAGCACCAUUAUGAUUGCAGAGUGACAGGUAAGAAAAGUAAUGCCUUAUACAAUGUAGGAAGCUCAAUUAGGAAUUCCUAGAAAAACUUUUUAAGAUGAGUGUUAACCACAGAAAUUAGGGGGCAUUGUGUGGGUCGUCUGGCUAAAUAAAUAAUGAGAAAUUUUUAGAGUUUGAUGCCUGUGUUGUAGAUGGCAAGGCAGGUGGUAGAAAAGUGGUAGGCUAAAGAGUCUGGAGUACUUUCAAUAUCCAGCAAUAAGUUUAGGUAUUAUUUUUUCCAAAACUAAAGAAAGCAUGGAACAUGCAUUUUAAGAUUCAUACAUACCUUGGCUAAAAACCAAUUCUACCACUUACUAGCUCAAAACAUCAAUUUCUUCUUUAUUUCAGUGGGUUGUUGUAAAGUACCUAGCAUAGGAUAUCCCUUAAAUAUUAGUACUCCUCCACCUCCCUAUCCUGAUUCUAAUCCUUCAGGGUAAAGUGAAAGGAAACCUAUUAAUUUCACCUUAAUGAAUGCCUUUUAGGUGUCAGGUGCUACUGAAAACAAGACAAAUAUAUCUUUGUAUCCAUUAUCUUCAAGUUAUUUACUUGAAGACUGGUGGGGAAGCCUGACAUAGAAGUGUUUGUAAGAUAGAUCCACCUUAUCAUCUGUUGUGCUAGAGUUAAGUAUUGGGUAUUGUGGGAGCCCAAAGAAGAGGCAUUCACAAGACCCUUCAGAAGCUCUUCCCGGUUACAUUGUUGUGGGAAAUUUCUAUACUGUCUCAUGCAAAAUCACAAAGUCCAUUCAGCAAGAUCUAAAUGUAUCACUCUAUCCUUAAUUGUUGAACAAAUUCAAAAGACCUUAGAAUAGAAAUCUAUACAUAAAACAUUAUUCUAAAAGGUUUUUGUUUUACGGAACUCUAAGGGAUAAAUGUGGUAUCCUGUUAUUCCUAUAAUUCUGUCGUGUUUACACCAGAAUUGUUGGACAGCACACACAAAAAAAGUUACUCUUUUUUUCUCACCAUUCAGGAAUCUAUUUGAACAUGGAUCAGUUUAUAUCGGACUUAAUGCUGCUCUCUGUGGUCUAAUAGCAAAUAGUCUUUUUCGACGCAUCUUAAACGUGACACAGGCUCGUAUAGCUGCUGGCUUACCAAUGGCAGUGAUCCCAUUUUUGACUGCGCAUGCAUCUUACAAA